CGGGUGAGUAACACGUGGGCAAUCACCUUUCGGUGAGGAAUACCGGCGAGAAAUCGCCGACAAUACCGCAUACGCUUCGUGAGAAGCAAAGUCGCAAGACGCCGGGGGAGGAGCCUGCGCCCGAUUAGCUAGUUGGUGAGGUAAGAGCUCACCAAGGCGACGAUCGGUAGCUGGUCUGAGAGGAUGAUCAGCCACACUGGGAUUGAGAACGGCCCAG
This 217-nucleotide ribosomal RNA is filed under the name uncultured bacterium. RNAcentral describes it as "partial 16S ribosomal RNA". It matches the Rfam family "Bacterial small subunit ribosomal RNA", at positions 103 to 334 of the family's 1533-position model. The record is from RNAcentral.